GAUGAACGCUAGCUACAGGCUUAACACAUGCAAGUCGAGGGGUAACGAGAGGAAAGCUUGCUUUCCUUGUCGACGACCGGCGCACGGGUGAGUAACGCGUAUCCAACCUGCCCCCAACUAGGGAAUAACCUUGCGAAAGUAAGACUAAUACCCUAUAAUUUCCUCAGAUGUCAUCUGACGAGGAAUAAAGAUUUAUCGGUUGUGGAUGGGGAUGCGUCUGAUUAGCUUGUUGGCGGGGUAACGGCCCACCAAGGCAACGAUCAGUAGGGGUUCUGAGAGGAAGGUCCACCAGAUUGGAACUGAGACACGGUACAAACUCCUACGGGAGGCAGCAGUGAGGAAUAUUGGUCAAUGGGCGGAAGCCUGAACCAGCCAAGUAGCGUGCAGGAUGACGGCCCUAUGGGUUGUAAACUGCUUUUAUACAGGAAUAAAGUUAGCCACGUGUGGUUAUUUGUAGGUACUGUAUGAAUAAGGACCGGCUAAUUCCGUGCCAGCCGCCGCCGUAA
RNAcentral lists this ribosomal RNA (506 nucleotides) under uncultured bacterium. RNAcentral describes it as "partial 16S ribosomal RNA". It matches the Rfam family "Bacterial small subunit ribosomal RNA", at positions 28 to 523 of the family's 1533-position model. The record is from RNAcentral.